Molecule: ribosomal RNA, 322 nt
Filed under: uncultured eukaryote
Lineage: Eukaryota
Description: partial 18S ribosomal RNA
Rfam family: Eukaryotic small subunit ribosomal RNA
Source: RNAcentral
CCCUUAGAUGUUCUGGGCCGCACGCGUGCUACACUGAGUGGAUCAGCGGGUCAGGUUGCGCGAAAGUGUUUCCUAAUCUUUAAAUCCGCUCGUGAUGGGGAUUGACGGUUGCAAUUUUCUGUCAUGAACGAGGAAUACCUUGUAAGCGCGGGUCAUCAUCCCGCGCUGAAUACGUCCCUGCCCUUUGCACACACCGCCCGUCGCUCCUACCGAUUGAGUGGUCCGGUGAGGCUUUGGGAUCUGAGCGGAAAGAGCGUUUCGCUGUUUCUGCUCGGAAAACUCAGUCGAACCUUAUCAUUUAGAGGAAGGAGAAGUCGUAACA